UUAUGAAGUUAGCGGCGGACGGGUGAGUAACACGUGGGUAACCUGCCCAUAAGACUGGGAUAACUCCGGGAAACCGGGGCUAAUACCGGAUAAUAUUUUGAACUGCAUGGUUCGAAAUUGAAAGGCGGCUUCGGCUGUCACUUAUGGAUGGACCCGCGUCGCAUUAGCUAGUUGGUGAGGUAACGGCUCACCAAGGCAACGAUGCGUAGCCGACCUGAGAGGGUGAUCGGCCACACUGGGACUGAGACACGGCCCAGACUCCUACGGGAGGCAGCAGUAGGGAAUCUUCCGCAAUGGACGAAAGUCUGACGGAGCAACGCCGCGUGAGUGAUGAAGGCUUUCGGGUCGUAAAACUCUGUUGUUAGGGAAGAACAAGUGCUAGUUGAAUAAGCUGGCACCUUGACGGUACCUAACCAGAAAGCCACGGCUAACUACGUGCCAGCAGCCGCGGUAAUACGUAGGUGGCAAGCGUUAUCCGGAAUUAUUGGGCGUAAAGCGCGCGCAGGUGGUUUCUUAAGUCUGAUGUGAAAGCCCACGGCUCAACCGUGGAGGGUCAUUGGAAACUGGGAGACUUGAGUGCAGAAGAGGAAAGUGGAAUUCCAUGUGUAGCGGUGAAAUGCGUAGAGAUAUGGA
Molecule: ribosomal RNA, 633 nt
Filed under: Bacillus anthracis (anthrax bacterium)
Lineage: Bacteria; Bacillati; Bacillota; Bacilli; Caryophanales; Bacillaceae
Description: bacterial SSU rRNA
Rfam family: Bacterial small subunit ribosomal RNA
Source: RNAcentral